Molecule: long non-coding RNA, 716 nt
Filed under: Homo sapiens (human)
Lineage: Eukaryota; Metazoa; Chordata; Mammalia; Primates; Hominidae
Description: HSALNT0109984
Source: RNAcentral
AAAAUCUUGACCCACAUGAGAAGACAGUUUUGGAAGCAGUAAGACCUGUUCAAGAAUCCUGAGCUGUUCCCGGGAGACUCUCCUGUGCUGUGCACUGUGUGCACCACUCAAUUAUUUCCUCCCUGUCUUCAUCUUCUGUUCUCUUAUUCCUACUUCUCUCCUCCUUUCCCUCUCUUCUCUCAAACUCAAUCCUGCUCAUCCUACCAGCUCCUCUCCUCAUUCUACUUGCUCCUUUUUCUCCUCCUUGCCUCUACUUUUUGCAGCUACCUUCCUCUUAUACUCUUUUUUCCUCCUAUAGUAUUCUUUCUCUUUAUUCUUUUUCUCAUCAUCCUUUGACGAACUUUUGCUGACUGGAGAGUCUGAGGACUGACUAUAGAGCUUGCUUGGAUGCCAACAGGAGAAUAUAAGGUAAUCACAAGGCCCACCCUGAACAAGUGACUAAAGAAGAAUAAAAAUCCUGCUGGAUGAAAGAUCCAAAGACCUACAAAGUAAGAUAUUCAAGCAAAGCAUUGCAGGCCAAAUGGCACUCCCUGUUCAUGUGAAAAUGUUAACAUUCAAAACAUGCAGCCAUAAUUAUUCAGUACCUGUAAGGUCUGUUAAUGCUGAAAAUAGCUGAUAGUUGUCACCCACUACCCAGCCAUUUUCCUAGCAAGGCAUGGGGAAACAAAUUAAGAUUCAUUCUAAACCUGGAAAAGUUAUGAUUUCAGUGUUUUGAG